Long non-coding RNA from Peromyscus eremicus (cactus mouse), 1895 nucleotides. RefSeq lists it as uncharacterized. Lineage: Eukaryota; Metazoa; Chordata; Mammalia; Rodentia; Cricetidae. The record is from RefSeq and is a predicted model, not a curated record. The transcript is spliced from 4 exons.
AGAAACAUACCAAAAUCACAUUUGGAUACAGAAAUAUGUUCAGCAGAAAUUGGAAGUGGCCAAUCAUUUCCUACAGGAGAAAGAUAAAAUGUGCUUCCUGGAAUAUAAAGCCUUGAAUGAAGGGCAUCUAAAAAUCUAUAGGUCUGCUGCUCCCCACAUACAACAGAAGGCCUUCAUCGAUUUGCUCAAUUACUGUAGGAAUGGACAAGCUUAUUUUGCAUCACGGGCCAUUAGUGGUUUAUACAACACAUUAAGAGCAGCAUCCUUGAACACUGGUUUCCCAGAGUCCAGCAUUCCCUGAAGAUCUCUAGCCUUACUGCUUAUCUUUCAUCUGACUUGAUACCAUGAAGGCUGGCACUGCUGUUUCCUCCAGCUCAUGCCCCUUUGGUGAGUGGUACUCUCAAUUCUCACAGACACUCCCAAUUCACAUCAUGUUGUAGGUAUGACCUAACCCCACCCCAUGGCAACCAGAACCUCCCCCUUCCUGGACAUAGGGAGAGGUACAGUAGGGUAGAGUGGGGGAGACUGGGCCAAAUAGGGCCGAGUGACAGUCAGAGUGGACAAAAAUCACUGGGAAGCCGGAGUUGUCUGUCUCCUGUGGCUGACAGCUAGCUUGGUGGUCAACUGGAUACCAUAUGUAAAGAUGUUGGAAGUGAAGCUAUCAUAGAGAGAAAACAGAGUCUAGACAUGGUCGGAGAGCCUGAUAACAUCUCUCAAACAUCUGGAUUCAUCUGUACCUGGAUCUGGUGUAUCUUAAACUUGAAAGUUAGCUGCCUUUCAGAUCUGGAGGAUCUGCCUGAAAGAGCAUAAGGAACAAAAGCCAUCAACUUCCAGUGCUAGCCGCUCGGGGCUCUGCUGAGCACAUCUCCAGCCAUAGAGGAGCAUGGAGAUGAUAUUAGGACUGCAUUUCCAAGAGAGGAUACAGCCAGGCAGGAAAUCUAAGAAAGAUAUGGGGAGAAAAAAGGUGGAGUUGGGGAGAUGCUGCGAGCCAUCAGGGGAGCAAGAUGUAAUAAAACACAGGUAAAGCCAUGAGACUUGUGGUGAUACAUAGAUGAGUAGAAAUAAGUUAAUUUAAGAUGUUAUAGCUAACUAUCGAUAAGCCUGAGCCAUUGACAAAACAGUUUGUAAUUAAUAUUAAGCCUCUGAGUGAUUGUUUUAUAAAAAUGGCUACUGCCCAGGUGGGACUGGGUGGGACUGAGACACUUCAGUCUACAUUUGUAGUAGGUGAACUAGAGCCGUAGGAAAGACUUUCAGGGAGAGGUGGUACAGCAGCAAAGACUGCAAUGUACUGGGAAAAGAGGUCAUGUGAAUAUCUAAGGAAUAUGUCCAAGACAGAGGUGAAGGUACAGGCAAAAAAGGGGCACAUACCUGCAAGAGAAGAGCCAUGGUGUGCUGGGGAGUAGCCAGACCUAACAAGUGAGCAGGUCAAACAAAAUUUGGAGUGGGAAAAGAGAAGAAUUAGAAGACCAGAUGAAAAUGCCUCUUGGCUCCAGCAGGGCAAAGAAGGAGUGAUAAGAAGGCCCCUCAUUUGAGAUCCAUUUUGAAGCAAACCUGGUAAGGAUUGCUGGUGAACUGGCUGCCAGGGAAGAAGGUGUCUGAAUUGAUCAGAUCCUUUUCAUGCUAAAGAAUUCCAACCAGGAUUUUCAUGCAGGCACUGAACUCCAGAGUUGAGAAAAAUCCAUUCAAAAGGCACAGAGGAGUAUAGCCCCUUCCAUCAGUCAGCCAUUUCCUUCAUCUAAGGUCCUACAAAGGGGCUGAGGAGAGUGGGCAUGAUGGAUUCUAGAAACAAGGAAUUCACAGGGAAAAGGUGAUGAUAAAGACAAGCAGCACUGGGAGAGAAUGUGCUGGAAGUAGCUAAGGCAUGGAGGAGGAUGCUUCUGGAAGUAGCUAAGGCA